RNAcentral lists this ribosomal RNA (587 nucleotides) under uncultured Acidithiobacillus sp. Its description in RNAcentral is "bacterial SSU rRNA". It matches the Rfam family "Bacterial small subunit ribosomal RNA", at positions 335 to 915 of the family's 1533-position model. Lineage: Bacteria; Pseudomonadati; Pseudomonadota; Acidithiobacillia; Acidithiobacillales; Acidithiobacillaceae. The record is from RNAcentral.
ACUCCUACGGGAGGCAGCAGUGGGGAAUAUUGGACAAUGGGGGCAACCCUGAUCCAGCAAUGCCGCGUGUGUGAAGAAGGCCUUCGGGUUGUAAAGCACUUUCGGUGGGGACAAACAAGGCGGAGCUAACAUCUCCGUCCCUGAUGGUACCCAAAGAAGAAGCACCGGCUAACUCUGUGCCAGCAGCCGCGGUAAUACAGAGGGUGCAAGCGUUAAUCGGAAUUACUGGGCGUAAAGGGUGCGUAGGUGGUUUGUUAAGUCAGGCGUGAAAUCCUCGGGCUCAACCUGGGAACUGCGCUUGAUACUGACAGACUCGAGUGUGGUAGAGGAUAGUGGAAUUCCCGGUGUAGCGGUGAAAUGCGUAGAUAUCGGGAGGAACAUCAGUGGCGAAGGCGGCUAUCUGGACUAACACUGACACUGAGGCACGAAAGCGUGGGUAGCAAACAGGGUUAGAUACCCUGGUAGUCCACGCCCUAAACGAUGGGUACUAGACGUCGGGAAGCUUGUCUUCUUGGUGUCGCAGCUMACGCAAUAAGUACCCCGCCUGGGGAGUACGSUCGCAAGAUUAAAACUCAAAUGAAUUGACG